GAUGAACGCUGGCGGCGUGCCUAAUACAUGCAAGUCGAGCGAACGGACGAGAAGGUUGCUUCACUGAUGUUAGCGGCGGAAGGGUGAGUAACACGUGGAUAACCUACCUAUAAGACUGGGAUAACUUCGGGAAACCGGAGCUAAUACCGGAUAAUAUUGUGAACCGCAUGGUUCAAAAGUGAAAGACGGUCUUGCUGUCACUUAUAGAUGGAUCCGCGCUGCAUUAGCUAGUUGGUAAGGUAACGGCUUACCAAGGCAACGAUGCAUAGCCGGCCUGAGAGGGUGAUCAGCCACACUGGAACUGAGACACGGUCCAGACUCCUACGGGAGGCAGCAGUAGGGAAUCUUCCGCAAUGGGCGAAAGCCUGACGGAGCAACGCCGCGUGAGUGGUGAAGGUCUUCGGAUCGUAAACCUCUGUUAUUAGGGAAGAACAUAUUUGUAAGUAACUGUGCACAUCUUGACGGUACCGUAUCAGAAAGCCACGGCUAACUACGUG
RNAcentral lists this ribosomal RNA (497 nucleotides) under uncultured bacterium. RNAcentral describes it as "partial 16S ribosomal RNA". It matches the Rfam family "Bacterial small subunit ribosomal RNA", at positions 28 to 507 of the family's 1533-position model. The record is from RNAcentral.